This 685-nucleotide ribosomal RNA is filed under the name uncultured Alphaproteobacteria bacterium. RNAcentral describes it as "bacterial SSU rRNA". It matches the Rfam family "Bacterial small subunit ribosomal RNA", at positions 28 to 761 of the family's 1533-position model. Lineage: Bacteria; Pseudomonadati; Pseudomonadota; Alphaproteobacteria. The record is from RNAcentral.
AGCGAACGCUGGCGGCAGGCCUAACACAUGCAAGUCGAACGGCUCUUCGGAGCAGUGGCGGACGGGUGAGUAACGCGUGGGAACGUGCCCUUUGGUUCGGAACAACACAGGGAAACUUGUGCUAAUACCGGAUGUGCCCUUCGGGGGAAAGAUUUAUCGCCAUUGGAGCGGCCCGCGUUGGAUUAGGUAGUUGGUGGGGUAAUGGCCCACCAAGCCGACGAUCCAUAGCUGGUCUGAGAGGAUGAUCAGCCACACUGGGACUGAGACACGGCCCAGACUCCUACGGGAGGCAGCAGUGGGGAAUCUUGCGCAAUGGGCGAAAGCCUGACGCAGCCAUGCCGCGUGAAUGAUGAAGGUCUUAGGAUUGUAAAAUUCUUUCACCGGGGAAGAUAAUGACGGUACCCGGAGAAGAAGCCCCGGCUAACUUCGUGCCAGCAGCCGCGGUAAUACGAAGGGGGCUAGCGUUGCUCGGAAUUACUGGGCGUAAAGGGCGCGUAGGCGGACAGUUAAGUCAGAGGUGAAAGCCCAGGGCUCAACCUUGGAAUUGCCUUUGAUACUGGCUGUCUUGAGUUCGGGAGAGGUGAGUGGAAUGCCGAGUGUAGAGGUGAAAUUCGUAGAUAUUCGGCGGAACACCAGUGGCGAAGGCGACUCACUGGCCCGAUACUGACGCUGAGGCGCGAAAGCG